Non-coding RNA from Acanthosepion pharaonis, 107 nucleotides. The record is from the annotation of a GenBank genome assembly. Lineage: Eukaryota; Metazoa; Mollusca; Cephalopoda; Sepiida; Sepiidae.
CACAUCAUAUUGAAAUACCGGUUCCUGUAUGAUCACCAAAGUUAAGCAAUGUUGAACUUGGUCAAUACCUAGAUGUGUGACUCCUUGGAAAUACCAGGUGCUGUAAG